GACUCGUCACACUAUCAUUAACUGAAUCCAUAGGUUAAUGAGGCGAACCGGGGGAACUGAAACAUCUAAGUACCCCGAGGAAAAGAAAUCAACCGAGAUUCCCCCAGUAGCGGCGAGCGAACGGGGAGGAGCCCAGAGCCUGAAUCAGCAUGUGUGUUAGUGGAAGCGUCUGGAAAGGCGCGCGAUACAGGGUGACAGCCCCGUACACAAAAGCGCAUGUGCUGUGAGCUCGAU
Molecule: ribosomal RNA, 234 nt
Filed under: Salmonella enterica subsp. enterica serovar Reading
Lineage: Bacteria; Pseudomonadati; Pseudomonadota; Gammaproteobacteria; Enterobacterales; Enterobacteriaceae
Description: partial 23S ribosomal RNA
Rfam family: Bacterial large subunit ribosomal RNA
Source: RNAcentral